This 253-nucleotide ribosomal RNA is filed under the name uncultured bacterium. Its description in RNAcentral is "partial 16S ribosomal RNA". It matches the Rfam family "Bacterial small subunit ribosomal RNA", at positions 524 to 776 of the family's 1533-position model. The record is from RNAcentral.
UACGAGGGGGGCUAGUGUUGUUCGGAUUCAUUGGGCGUAAAGGGUGCGUAGGCGGCGCGGUAAGUCGGGUGUGAAAUCUCGGGGCUUAACUCCGAAACUGCAUUCGAUACUACCGUGCUUGAGGACUGGAGAGGAGACUGGAAUUUACGGUGUAGCGGUGAAAUGCGUAGAUAUCGUAAGGAAGACCAGUGGCGAAGGCGGGUCUCUGGACAGUUCCUGACGCUGAGGCACGAAGGCCAGGGGAGCAAACGGG